Molecule: ribosomal RNA, 709 nt
Filed under: uncultured Flavobacterium sp.
Lineage: Bacteria; Pseudomonadati; Bacteroidota; Flavobacteriia; Flavobacteriales; Flavobacteriaceae
Description: bacterial SSU rRNA
Rfam family: Bacterial small subunit ribosomal RNA
Source: RNAcentral
UUUAAGGGUCCGUAGGCGGUUUAAUAAGUCAGUGGUGAAAUCUGGUCGCUCAACGAUCAAAAGGCCAUUGAUACUGUUAGACUUGAAUUAUUAGGAAGUAACUAGAAUAUGUAGUGUAGCGGUGAAAUGCUUAGAUAUUACAUGGAAUACCAAUUGCGAAGGCAGGUUACUACUAAUGGAUUGACGCUGAUGGACGAAAGCGUGGGGAGCGAACAGGAUUAGAUACCCUGGUAGUCCACGCCGUAAACGAUGGAUACUAGCUGUUGGGAGCAAUCUCAGUGGCUAAGCGAAAGUGAUAAGUAUCCCACCUGGGGAGUACGUUCGCAAGAAUGAAACUCAAAGGAAUUGACGGGGGCCCGCACAAGCGGUGGAGCAUGUGGUUUAAUUCGACGAUACGCGAGGAACCUUACCAAGGCUUAAAUGUAGUUUGACCGGUUUGGAAACAGAUCUUUCGCAAGACAAAUUACAAGGUGCUGCAUGGUUGUCGUCAGCUCGUGCCGUGAGGUGUCAGGUUAAGUCCUAUAACGAGCGCAACCCCUGUUGUUAGUUGCCAGCGAGUCAUGUCGGGAACUCUAACAAGACUGCCAGUGUAAACUGUGAGGAAGGUGGGGAUGACGUCAAAUCAUCACGGCCCUUACGCCUUGGGCUACACACGUGCUACAAUGGACGGUACAGAGAGCAGCCACUUCGCAAGGAGGAGCGAAUCUAC